Molecule: ribosomal RNA, 253 nt
Filed under: uncultured bacterium
Lineage: Bacteria
Description: partial 16S ribosomal RNA
Rfam family: Bacterial small subunit ribosomal RNA
Source: RNAcentral
UACAGAGGUCUCAAGCGUUGUUCGGAUUCAUUGGGCGUAAAGGGUGCGUAGGCGGCGCGGUAAGUCGGGUGUGAAAUCUUGGAGCUUAACUCCGAAACUGCAUUCGAUACUGCCGUGCUUGAGGACUGGAGAGGAGACUGGAAUUUACGGUGUAGCGGUGAAAUGCGUAGAUAUCGGGAAGAACACCCGUGGCGAAGGCGGUUCUCUGGGACGGUACUGACGCUGAGACGCGAAAGCGUGGGGAGCGAACAGG